Molecule: ribosomal RNA, 940 nt
Filed under: uncultured Alistipes sp.
Lineage: Bacteria; Pseudomonadati; Bacteroidota; Bacteroidia; Bacteroidales; Rikenellaceae
Description: bacterial SSU rRNA
Rfam family: Bacterial small subunit ribosomal RNA
Source: RNAcentral
AGAGUUUGAUCCUGGCUCAGGAUGAACGCUAGCGGCAGGCUUAACACAUGCAAGUCGAGGGGCAGCAUGGGAGUAGCAAUACUUCUGAUGGCGACCGGCGCACGGGUGCGUAACGCGUAUGCAACCUACCUGUAACAGGGGGAUAACACUGAGAAAUCGGUACUAAUACCGCAUAACACUAUGAGAGGCAUCUCUUGUGGUUGAAAGUUUCGGCGGUUACAGAUGGGCAUGCGUUGUAUUAGCUGGUUGGUAAGGUAACGGCUUACCAAGGCGACGAUACAUAGGGGGACUGAGAGGUUAACCCCCCACAUUGGUACUGAGACACGGACCAAACUCCUACGGGAGGCAGCAGUGAGGAAUAUUGGUCAAUGGACGGAAGUCUGAACCAGCCAUGCCGCGUGCAGGAAGACGGCUCUAUGAGUUGUAAACUGCUUUUGUACAAGGGUAAACCUGAAUACGUGUAUUCAGCUGAAAGUACUGUACGAAUAAGGAUCGGCUAACUCCGUGCCAGCAGCCGCGGUAAUACGGAGGAUCCAAGCGUUAUCCGGAUUUAUUGGGUUUAAAGGGUGCGUAGGCGGAUUGAUAAGUUAGAGGUGAAAUGUCCGGGCUCAACUCGGGAACUGCCUCUAAUACUGUUGAUCUAGAGAGUAGAUGCGGUAGGCGGAAUGUAUGGUGUAGCGGUGAAAUGCUUAGAGAUCAUACAGAACACCGAUUGCGAAGGCAGCUUACCAAUCUAUAUCUGACGUUGAGGCACGAAAGCGUGGGGAGCAAACAGGAUUAGAUACCCUGGUAGUCCACGCAGUAAACGAUGAUAGCUCGUUGUCGGCGAUACACAGUCGGUGACUAAGAGAAAUCGAUAAGCUAUCCACCUGGGGAGUACGUUCGCAAGAAUGAAACUCAAAGGAAUUGACGGGGGCCCGCACAAGCGGAGGAACAUGUG